UACGUAGGGGGCAAGCGUUGUCCGGAAUUAUUGGGCGUAAAGAGCUUGUAGGCGGUCUGUCGCGUCUGCUGUGAAAAUCCGGGGCUCAACCCCGGACUUGCAGUGGGUACGGGCAGACUAGAGUGUGGUAGGGGAGACUGGAAUUCCUGGUGUAGCGGUGAAAUGCGCAGAUAUCAGGAGGAACACCAAUAGCGAAGGCAGCUCGCUGGGACGUUACUGACACUGAGGCGCGAAAGCGUGGGGAGCGAACAGG
RNAcentral lists this ribosomal RNA (253 nucleotides) under uncultured bacterium. RNAcentral describes it as "partial 16S ribosomal RNA". It matches the Rfam family "Bacterial small subunit ribosomal RNA", at positions 524 to 776 of the family's 1533-position model. The record is from RNAcentral.